RNAcentral lists this ribosomal RNA (492 nucleotides) under uncultured bacterium. Its description in RNAcentral is "partial 16S ribosomal RNA". It matches the Rfam family "Bacterial small subunit ribosomal RNA", at positions 29 to 507 of the family's 1533-position model. The record is from RNAcentral.
AGUGAACGCUGGCGGUAGGCCUAACACAUGCAAGUCGAACGGCAGCACAGUAAGAGCUUGCUCUUACGGGUGGCGAGUGGCGGACGGGUGAGGAAUACAUCGGAAUCUACUUUUUCGUGGGGGAUAACGUAGGGAAACUUACGCUAAUACCGCAUACGACCUACGGGUGAAAGCAGGGGAUCUUCGGACCUUGCGCGAUUGAAUGAGCCGAUGUCGGAUUAGCUAGUUGGCGGGGUAAAGGCCCACCAAGGCUACGCACCGUAGCUGGUCUGAGAGGAUGAUCAGCCACACUGGAACUGAGACACGGUCCAGACUCCUACGGGAGGCAGCAGUGGGGAAUAUUGGACAAUGGGCGCAAGCCUGAUCCAGCCAUACCGCGUGGGUGAAGAAGGCCUUCGGGUUGUAAAGCCCUUUUGUUGGGAAAGAAAAGCAGCAGGUUAAUACCCCGCUGUUCUGACGGUACCCAAAGAAUAAGCACCGGCUAACUUCGUG